AUUCCCCCAGUAGCGGCGAGCGAACGGGGAGCAGCCCAGAGCCUGAAUCAGUGUGUGUGUUAGUGGAAGCGUCUGGAAAGGCGCGCGAUACAGGGUGACAGCCCCGUACACAAAAAUGCACAUGCUGUGAGCUCGAUGAGUAGGGCGGGACACGUGGUAUCCUGUCUGAAUAUGGGGGGACCAUCCUCCAAGGCUAAAUACUCCUGACUGACCGAUAGUGAACCAGUACCGUGAGGGAAAGGCGAAAAGAACCCCGGCGAGGGGAGUGAAAAAGAACCUGAAACCGUGUACGUACAAGCAGUGGGAGCACAGAGCAAUCUGUGUGACUGCGUACCUUUUGUAUAAUGGGUCAGCGACUUAUAUUCUGUAGCAAGGUUAACCGAAUAGGGGAGCCGAAGGGAAACCGAGUCUUAACUGGGCGUUAAGUUGCAGGGUAUAGACCCGAAACCCGGUGAUCUAGCCAUGGGCAGGUUGAAGGUUGGGUAACACUAACUGGAGGACCGAACCGACUAAUGUUGAAAAAUUAGCGGAUGACUUGUGGCUGGGGGUGAAAGGCCAAUCAAACCGGGAGAUAGCUGGUUCUCCCCGAAAGCUAUUUAGGUAGCGCCUCGUGAAUUCAUCUCCGGGGGUAGAGCACUGUUUCGGCAAGGGGGUCAUCCCGACUUACCAACCCGAUGCAAACUGCGAAUACCGGAGAAUGUUAUCACGGGAGACACACGGCGGGUGCUAACGUCCGUCGUGAAGAGGGAAACAACCCAGACCGCCAGCUAAGGUCCCAAAGUCAUGGUUAAGUGGGAAACGAUGUGGGAAGGCCCAGACAGCCAGGAUGUUGGCUUAGAAGCAGCCAUCAUUUAAAGAAAGCGUAAUAGCUCACUGGUCGAGUCGGCCUGCGCGGAAGAUGUAACGGGGCUAAACCAUG
Molecule: ribosomal RNA, 919 nt
Filed under: Escherichia coli
Lineage: Bacteria; Pseudomonadati; Pseudomonadota; Gammaproteobacteria; Enterobacterales; Enterobacteriaceae
Description: partial 23S ribosomal RNA
Rfam family: Bacterial large subunit ribosomal RNA
Source: RNAcentral